GAUGAACGCUGGCGGCGUGCCUAAUACAUGCAAGUCGAGCGAACACACGAGGAGCUUGCUCCUCUGACGUUAGCGGCGGACGGGUGAGUAACACGUGGAUAACCUACCUAUAUGACUGGGAUAACUUCCUGAAACCGGAGCUAAUACCGGAUAAUAUAUUGAACCGCAUGGUUCAAUAGUGAAAGACGGUUUUACUGUCACUUAUAGGUGGAUCCGCGCUGCAUUAGCUAGUUGGUAAGGUAACGGCUUACCAAGGCAACGAUGCCUAGCCGACCUGAGAGGGUGAUCGGCCACACUGGAACUGAGACACGGUCCAGACUCCUACGGGAGGCAGCAGUAGGGAAUCUUCCGCAAUGGACGCAAGUCUGACGGAGCAACGCCGCGUGAGUGAUGAAGGUCUUCGGAUCGUAAAACUCUGUUAUUAGGGAAGAACAAGUGUGAAAGUAACUAUGCACGUCUUGACGGUACCUAACCAGAAAGCCACGGCUAACUACGUG
Molecule: ribosomal RNA, 497 nt
Filed under: uncultured bacterium
Lineage: Bacteria
Description: partial 16S ribosomal RNA
Rfam family: Bacterial small subunit ribosomal RNA
Source: RNAcentral